CCGAGUUUACAACUCCCAAACCCCUGUGAACAUACCUUAUGUUGCCUCGGCGGAUCAGCCCGCGCCCCGGUAAAACGGGACGGCCCGCCAGAGGAACCCCUAAACUCUGUUUCUAUAGUGGAACUUCUGAGUAAAAACCAUAAAUAAAUCA
RNAcentral lists this unclassified non-coding RNA (151 nucleotides) under soil metagenome. RNAcentral describes it as "partial internal transcribed spacer 1". The record is from RNAcentral.